AUGAGCGCGGGGAGAACCUCGGCCGCUGCCCGGAGCUGUACGCGUGCCGGAGGGAGCGGCGCGGCUCCGCCUGGCCUUUAUUGGCAAUGCAGAGCGCGGCUGGCAGGGCGCUGCGCGGCUCCUCCGGCGCUGUCCGGCCGCGGUCGCACCGCAGCGGGAUCCCCGUUCCCGCACGCGGGGGUCACGGCGCCGCCGGGCCGGGGCGCGGAGGGCGGCCGACAGGCUCCGUCCCGCUCCCGGCGGGGGCAGCGGCCUCGUCCCGGCCUCCGUGAGUCACUUCCCUUCUCCCGGCCUCGGUUUCCCCUCUGGUCAAAGCGGGGGGGGGCGAGUUCCCGGCUCCCCGCACGCGGCCGCAUCCCGAGGGCCGAGCCCCGCUCCUUCCGCAGCCCCGGCGACAGCCCCGAGCCCAGCCGCCCCGCGUCCCCGAGCCCUAAGAACCGCGGCAGGGCCCGGCAGCCGGCACGGCAGCCCCGGGACAAGCCGCAGCUCCGGGACCCGGCGCCGCGCCCGCGGGGCUGGACUCGGGGCACGCUUUACCUUGACGUGUGCCGUCCCCGCUCCGCUGUUGUUGUUGUUGUGGUUCCUCUCGCCGCCGGCCCGGGCGCGGUCCCGCGGUGCCCCCGCGUCCCCCCCGUGCCAGUUGGACAGCGUGAUCCUCUUGAUGGAGCGCGCCAGGGCGCCGCGGCUCACCCUGUCCUCCUCGCCGCCCCCUCCCGGGCCGGUGCCGGUGCCGGUGCCGCGGGGCUGCUCGCGGGGUCCGGCCCGCGCCUGGGCCAGGUACAGGGAGAUGCGCUGCUCCAGGCCGGCACGGAGCCCGCGGCGGCCGUCCAGCGCGGAGGCGAGGGCGAUGCCGGGGCAGGGGUCGGCGGAGAACUCGGCGGCGCACUUGGGCACGGAGAGCUUGGUGCUGAUGGUGAAGGGCUGCACCUUCCUGGCCGUGCUGCCCGACAUCGUCCCGCCGCCCGCCGCCGGAGAGAGGCUCCGGGACGGGCGGGCGGCCGGGGAGGAGCCCGGUCCCGCGGCGGCGGCGCGGCUCCCCCUCUCUCCGUUCCCGGCCGGCUCCUUCCCCGGCGCGGGCGCGGCGGUGCCGGGGCGGGCGGCGCGGCGACGGGGCCGCCCCUUCCCGCGGGGGCUGUCAGCGGGGCGGCCCCGCGGCGGGGGGCGGCGGCGCGGGGGGCGGUGGCGCGGCGGCCAUGGCCGGGACGGGCUCUGCCUCCGGCCGCUCCGCCGGCCCCUCCGCCCCCGCCGGGGCGCGUCCCCUCCUCCGGGCCGGGCCCUCCUCCCGCGGCGUGCGGGGCAGGGCGAGGCGAGGCGAGGCGGUCGGGGAGCCCUCGGGAAGGGCGGCCUCAGGCGUCCGCCUUCUUGUGCAGGUUGAGGAUGCAGAGCAGGCAGGUGAGCAGCGCCUGGCGGCUCUCCCGGGAGCGCAGCCGGCGCCCCAGACGGCGGAGCGGCGGCAGGAGGCGCUUGCGGGCCAGCUGCAGCAGGCGGGAGAGCAGCGAGAGCAGCAGCGGGGCGGCCAGCGGCACGGCGGGCAUCGCGGACACCGCCGAGCUCCGGAGGCGGCGGACCCGGGCACAGCGGCGCCGGGACGGGAGCGGGUGGGAGCUGGGACGCAGCGCUGGGGCCGCCCCCUCUCGGCCGCUCUCGGCGCCCUGA
RNAcentral lists this long non-coding RNA (1656 nucleotides) under Coturnix japonica (Japanese quail). RNAcentral describes it as "lncRNA (ENSCJPG00005010309.1)". The record is from RNAcentral. Lineage: Eukaryota; Metazoa; Chordata; Aves; Galliformes; Phasianidae.